AUGGUCACAUCAAGCUGAAACACCUGUUCCAAUAUGAUCACUGAAGUUAAGUAAUAUUGAGCCUGGUCAGUACCUAGAUGGGUAACCACUUGGGAAUACAAAGUGC
Non-coding RNA from Acanthosepion pharaonis, 106 nucleotides. The record is from the annotation of a GenBank genome assembly. NCBI's taxonomy places the organism in Eukaryota, Metazoa, Mollusca, Cephalopoda, Sepiida, Sepiidae.